Molecule: ribosomal RNA, 360 nt
Filed under: uncultured bacterium
Lineage: Bacteria
Description: bacterial SSU rRNA
Rfam family: Bacterial small subunit ribosomal RNA
Source: RNAcentral
AACGAACGCUGGCGGCAUGCCUAACACAUGCAAGUCGAACGAGACCUUCGGGUCUAGUGGCGCACGGGUGCGUAACGCGUGGGAAUCUGCCCUUGGUUCGGAAUAACAGUUAGAAAUGACUGCUAAUUACCGGAUGAUGACGAAAGUCCAAAGAUUUAUCGCCGAGGGAUGAGCCCGGCGUAGGAUUAGCUAGUUGGUGAGGUAAAGGCUCACCAAGGCGACGAUCCUUAGCUGGUCUAGAGAGGAUGAUCAGCCACACUGGGACUGAGACACGGCCCAGACUCCUACGGGAGGCAGCAGUGGGGAACUAUUGGACAAUGGGCGAAAGCCUGAUCCAGCAAUGCCGCGUGAGUGAUGAGG